GACACCGGCAUUCCGAUGUGAUGUCUGAGAGAUUUGGCAGCUGCUCAGCAGAGCACAAACACCUACUGCGGCAUCAAACAGUAGGACGCCAUGUGAGUUAAUGGCAGUGAGGAUUCUGGACUGAGGGGAUGAAUUGAACCAGUGUGUCAAGGGAAGAGCCAACCACUACUGUUGGAUGAGAACUGAUGGGCUGUCCAAGCUGGCAAUAGCAUGCCAACUGCAAAAGGUAAAGGUGGUCCAAUGUCCCACCGCUACCGGCCUGCCGCAGAAUACGAUGAUGCCACCCUCGCCCAAAAGAGAGAAUACUGGAGAAACAAGAAGCGAGAGCAGAGGGCUCGACUGUCCGAGAGGAGAAGAAAGCCAACGCAAGACAGAGGGAAAAAGCUCCUACAUCUAAAUCCCCCUGCAGUGGUGAAUUCCAGUUUAUCUGGCUCCUUUGCUGCUUUCUCGUCUCCUUUGCAGAGUAAUGAUGAGUCAGACAAAACAGCCAAUGUCUCUCCUGUAUUACAGAUUGGAAAUACAGUGGGGAAUAGCUCAGUUGAAGCCACCCAAAACCAAAAGGAGAAAUGGCUCCAGACAAUGAAACUCAACAAGGUCUUGCCUCAGUUGCCAGCAUCGUAUUCCAUCUCAGCCAAAACUGCUGGGGGUGACGCAGCCACAGUGAAAUGUUUAACAGCAAGGGGUGCUGUGAGCAGAGCCGUUACCUCACCCACACCCACACCCAGUGGAACCCAGCUGAACACCUGUUCCUCAGUGCCUCCAGUAAGAGUGACCAGAAUUACCAAUGGCAGCUCAGCUAAAACAACACCUCAGCCAUGUGUGUCUAUGCAGGGAGCAUCAGUCUCCAAAACGCAACAUAAGGCACAAGUUGCAUUACGCAUUCAGCCCAAACUCUCACCCACUAAUGUGACCACAGGUAUGAUUCUUGUGUCUUCUCCACAUGGCCCUGUUUCUGUUAGAAAAGAGGGCAAAGCAGCGAACACAACACCUCAGAGUGGAACAAAGAGUGCCUUGGUCACCCUGCAGAGGGCUAAAGGUGUUAGCAACUCACAUCCUUCCCUGGAGUCUGAGGAGGAGAGAGCGGCCAAGCGCAGGGAGCACUGGCGGAUCAAAAAGCGAGAGCAGAGAGCGAAAGUGGCAGCUCGAAUAGCUAAAACCAGAGAAAGGACACAAGGUGUGGAGAUGAUGUUACACAGGCAAACAGCACAAAAAACGGGACUCGUGGGUGGCACGAUUCUUCAGAAUCUUCCAUCCAGAGGAGUAGGCCAGAAGUGUCCUACUCGAGUCAAAACUUCUUUUACAUCUGCCAAAAGGGAAAAUGAUAAACUGGAAAGCGGGGCAGCAAGUUUAGCUACAGCUAAUCCACCUGGGAAUAGGACGACACAGACAUCUGAUGUUAUUUCUGUGAAAAAGCCAGGGGAGACACAAAGAAAGUUUCCAAGUUAUGUCUAUCUUUCCAAUGUUUCCCGAGGGAUUGCACGCUGUAAAACACCUAGACAGAGGUUCAUCGAAGCCCAGAAGAAUUUCAUGAAUCAAAGAAAUAUAAGAUGUAAAUCCCCAUUGCUUGCCUCAGUCUUUGGUACCAGAAAUAUCCCCAAGAUUGACCCCAACGACACACCUGAGCAGAUAAUAGCCAAACGGCGAGAGUACUGGCGGAUUAAAAAGCGCGAGCAGCGGGCUAAGCUGUCGAUGGAGGUGAAGGCUCGGUUGAAGGAGAAGGACUCCCUGAUGCGGAGAGUGAAACGUUACCAGAAAAUCCUUGAGGAAAUGAGGAGGGCCAGAGCGCUUACACAGUCAGCAGGAAGCACCCUCACGCACGCCUCUGAGACCAUUGGAGGGUUCAUCAAAGAGGACGGGACAGUGACUAUUAACAUUCCCCAGGUUCCUACAGAUCACAACACAGCAGCACACAAAAGUGAAGAGGAACUUCAUGUAGUUUCUAAUAAUACCCCUGUCACAAAACCUCAGCAUCAGCCUGAUACUAAACAGAGAAGUAUCGCACCCAUUUGUGUAAACCAGCCUCCCCCUCCACUCCACCCAGCUCAGGUGAAAGUCUCUUUGUCUCUUCCUGUACAGUCUGUCAACAAGCCUCCAAGACUACUGUCAAUCAGACCAAGGACACAACUUGAAAGCACAACUGUUCCAACUAAUUCACACUCGUUAGAUAUCCAAACUGUAAGUCAGCUCACACUCACUCAUCCUCAGACCCCUCAAAAUGGCAUCUCUGGAGGAUCAACAACAGGAUCUAACCUUGGUGGCUGUGUCAUGAAAAUGGCGGUCUCAAGUAGUGCACCAGCAGUGCUCUCUCUGGAUCCAGAGCUGACAGAGGAGGAGAAGAUGGCAAAGAAGAGGGAAUACUGGAGGAUAAAGAAACGUGAGCAGCGAGCAGCUCGUGCUGCUCGGCUGAAGCAGGGUGUCUUGCAAGCGAGGGUCAGUGCGGCCUUACAGAGGCGGAAGUCCCAGAAGCAAGUAGCAGUAAGCACUGUACCAAUAGGCAGGAGGCUUACUAACCAUACAGGAAAUGCACAACCUCUCCCCAACAACAGUGUGCCUGUUACGCCACAUACAAGUGAGAUAAAACAAGAGAGUGAGUCUAUGCCAGCGGUUGACCUAAAUUCUCAACCAGAGCAAGCCAUCUGUCCAGAUAUCAAACCCCCAACACCACCUCCAGCGCCUCAGCCAGAGCCUGACCCAGCUAUGAAUGCAGACAGCCAAGCUACUACUCUGCUAGCCGUGGCCUCUAUGAAGAAACUCCUGGAGGAAUCACUUAGCACAGUGGCGGAGUGUAAAAGUGAGCAGACUGACAUCAAAAUAGAGUCAACAGAAGAGAGUUCAGAUUCAGAGAUGAAGCCAAAUUUAUCUCAGCUCUUUUUUGAAAAGGAUGAGGUGGCUCCUAUGGCUGCUGACCUGACGUUGGAGAUAAAGAGCUGGCAGCCAGACACUGAUGCUUUGGUACAAACAGGUUCCUCAGACCCUCAUCUGAAGGACUCACCGCAAAUUACAGAGACACCACCUCUUCCUACCUCUAGUGAGGUAGACCUGCACCCCACCUGUGAGCACUCAUCCCAAACCAGUUCGAACUUCAUAGUAAACCCCAUGGAAACCUCUCACAGCCCAUCUUCACCACGUAGAACCCAGAGACUUCGCAACAAAAAAGCAGGCCAUCAAAACUGCUGUUCCCCAGAGCCGCCAAAGCUACAUCACCUACCCAUGGAUCAACUACUGCAACAACACUGUGAACAACAGUGUCAGGCACAAGAACAGUGCCAAAACAGCAGCUUGCCAUCAGCACAACGACAUCGCAGUGUGGAGAACAGCGGCCUGACCAGCCUGCAGAGGAAGAGGGAGUACUGGAAGCUGAUGAAGAGGCAGCAGAGGGCCAGGUUAAAGGCAAGGCAGACAGAAAGACCGGGAGAGGGAAGCAGUCGGCUUUCCCAGAAAAACAUCCAGGCUCCAGGUCUUAUUAUCAACACUGUUAAGGUUAUAAAUCCCCCAGCAAAACCAUCCCUUCAGCCCAGGCCAUCUGUUGCUUCUCUGACUGCAGUGACCAGUAUCCCUACUGUCCUGGUUGUUAGCCCUACAACAUGUAAUGCUGACCAGUCACCUGACACACUCCAGGUCAAAUUGCCCAUCGCCAGUGUUUCCUGUUCACCCAGAAAUGAGCAAAACAAAGUGAAUGUUGGGCCUUCACAGAUUGAGUCUGACUAUCUAGAAGCUGCAGAGAAUCAGCAACAAGCCAUGCCAGGAUCACGAAAGUGGAUGUCUAGAAGCACAGAUGUAGACCCAGUUCCCUGCCUCCUUACUCUGAAGCCUCCAGACAACCCACUGUCCAGCAUCAACCUGCAACCCAUUGAACCACUUGGUCAAAUGCCAGAUUCCACCCUCAGUCCAAUAAAAAUCCAUUGUGCCCAACUUCAGAGCCCUGCACAUAUGAUACAACCUUCCACUAAGCUGGCACCUAUAAGCACCAUGGUUCCACCAAAGCCCAUCCUAGGGGAGUCUGAGGAGGAUUAUCUGAGGAGGAAACGGGAGUACUGGAGGAUAAAAAAGAAGGAACAGAGAGCUAGGAAGGCCAUUCGGGAAAAGGGAAUAACCCCAAGGAGAAGCUCCAACAACUGGAGGCCCAUCCUGCCUGCCCAGGACCUACAAACACAGGAUUCUGGUCAGUGGGUGAGCUCCUCUGAGGAGUCAGAACAUCUAAUGAGCACUUCAGUGGAUACCGACCCGGGAUCAUUUCCAUACUCAAAUUACACAGCACCAGUAGAAGAUGAGUCGGAGCUUCUGUUCGCUGACUAUGAGAAUAAUAACAACGAGGAAGGUCCAGUCUCAGACGCUGUGUGGAGGAACCGCUACCUCAUGGACUACGAUCCUCUCAACCAGCUGCUGGUGUGCAUGGUGUGUGGGGAGCUGCAGUACUCACACAGCCUGGAGGGAGUGAGGGCCCACAUCGACGAAGCCCACCCAGACACCCUGACCCUGGAGCCAGGGGAGCAACAGCAAAUACUUGAGGCCUGGGACGAGCAGGUGUCCCAGCGGGAACGCUUCUUCACCAGCCAGCUCCAGCAGCACAGCGGGGCCCUGGCAGAAGUACACAACAGAGACCGAGUCAACUGA
This 4614-nucleotide long non-coding RNA is filed under the name Dicentrarchus labrax (European seabass). RNAcentral's name for it is "lncRNA (ENSDLAG00005032175.1)". The record is from RNAcentral. Lineage: Eukaryota; Metazoa; Chordata; Actinopteri; Moronidae.